This 67-nucleotide transfer RNA is filed under the name Ips typographus. RNAcentral's name for it is "tRNA-Thr". The record is from RNAcentral. Lineage: Eukaryota; Metazoa; Arthropoda; Insecta; Coleoptera; Curculionidae. RNAcentral also lists the same sequence under 1 other name.
GCAUUAAUAAUUUAAAUAAAAUAUUAGUCUUGUAAACUAACUUUAAGAAAAACUUUCUUUUAAUGCU